AGGUCCCAAAGUGCGUGUUAAGUGGAAAAGGAUGUGGGAUUUCGAAGACAACUAGGAUGUUGGCUCAGAAGCAGCCACACAUUAAAAGAGUGCGUAAUAGCUCACUAGUCGAGAGGUCCUGCGCCGAAAAUGUCCGGGGCUGAAACACGACACCGAAGCUUAGGAACAAAGAAACCAAGGUUUCUAUAUGUUGGUAGAGGAGCAUUGUUAGCGGAACGAAGCCAUACCGGAAGGAGUGGUGGACUGCUAAGAAGAGAGAAUGCCGGAAUGAGUAGCGAGAUUGAAGUGAGAAUCUUCAAGGCCGAAUAUCUAAGGUUUCCAGGGUAAAGCUGAUCUGCCCUGGGUAAGUCGGGGCCUAAGGCGAGGUCGAAAGACGUAGCCGAUGGACAACAGGUUGAAAUUCCUGUACUGCGAUAUAUCAGAAAUGUGGGGACACAGAAGGAAAGUGUGAGCCGGGAAAGGAAAGACCGGUGCAAGCACAGGAGGAGAGAUACAGGCAAAUCCGUAUUUCAAUCCAAUGGUGUUACGCGGAGCGAACAAAAGUAGCGAAGCACACAGACCAUCUGUCGAGAAAAGCCGCUAUUGUGUAUACCGUACCCGUACCGUAAACCGACACAGGUGGAUGAGGAGAGAAUCCUAAGGCCGGCGGGAGAAGCAUUGUUAAGGAACUCGGCAAAAUGACCCCGUAACUUCGGGAGAAGGGGUGCUCACGCAAGUGAGCCGCAGAGAACUGGCCCAAGCAACUGUUUAGCAAAAACACAGGUCUAUGCAAAACCGAAAGGUGAGGUAUAUGGGCUGACGCCUGCCCGGUGCUGGAAGGUUAAGGGGAGAGGUUAGCGCAAGCGAAGCUUUGAACUUAAGCCCCAGUAAACGGCGGCCGUAACUAUAACGGUCCUAAGGUAGCGAAAUUCCUUGUCGGGUAAGUUCCGACCCGCACGAAAGGCGUAAUGAUUUGGGCACUGUCUCGACAAUGCACCCGGUGAAAUUGAAAUACCAGUGAAGAUGCUGGUUACCUGCGCCAGGACGGAAAGACCCCAUGGAGCUUUACUCCAGCUUGAUACUGGGAUUCGAUACUGUAUGUACAGGAUAGGUGGGAGACGUUGAGCAUAGAACGCCAGUUUUAUGUGAGUCGCUGUUGGGAUACCACCCUUGCAGUAUUGGAUUUCUAACCUGCACCCAUGACCUGGGUGGGGGACAAUGUCUGGCGGGGAGUUUGACUGGGGCGGUCGCCUCCGAAAGGGUAUCGGAGGCGCUCAAAGGUUCCCUCAGAAUGGUUGGAAACCAUUCGAAGAGUGCAAAGGCAGAAGGGAGCUUGACUGCGACACCGACGGGUGGAGCAGGUACGAAAGUAGGACUUAGUGAUCCGGUGGUAUAAAGUGGGAUUGCCAUCGCUCAAC
Molecule: ribosomal RNA, 1397 nt
Filed under: human gut metagenome
Description: bacterial LSU rRNA
Rfam family: Bacterial large subunit ribosomal RNA
Source: RNAcentral